AUUGAACGCUGGCGGCAUGCCUUACACAUGCAAGUCGAACGGUAAUGGGCCUUCGGGUGCCGACGAGUGGCGAACGGGUGAGUAAUACAUCGGAACGUGCCCGAUCGUGGGGGAUAACGAGGCGAAAGCUUUGCUAAUACCGCAUACGAUCUACGGAUGAAAGCAGGGGACCGCGAGGCCUUGCGCGGACGGAGCGGCCGAUGGCAGAUUAGGUAGUUGGUGGGAUAAAAGCUUACCAAGCCGACGAUCUGUAGCUGGUCUGAGAGGAUGAUCAGCCACACUGGGACUGAGACACGGCCCAGACUCCUACGGGAGGCAGCAGUGGGGAAUUUUGGACAAUGGGCGCAAGCCUGAUCCAGCCAUGCCGCGUGCAGGAUGAAGGCCUUCGGGUUGUAAACUGCUUUUGUACGGAACGAAAAGCCUUCUUUUAAUACAGGAGGGUCAUGACGGUACCGUAAGAAUAAGCACCGGCUAACUACGUG
Molecule: ribosomal RNA, 482 nt
Filed under: uncultured bacterium
Lineage: Bacteria
Description: partial 16S ribosomal RNA
Rfam family: Bacterial small subunit ribosomal RNA
Source: RNAcentral